Non-coding RNA from Schistosoma mansoni, 47 nucleotides. The record is from Rfam. NCBI's taxonomy places the organism in Eukaryota, Metazoa, Platyhelminthes, Trematoda, Strigeidida, Schistosomatidae.
AUCAGCUGACGAGUCCACAAUAUGACGAAAUGCGCGUCAAACUGGAU